UAACGCGUUAAAUCGACCGCCUGGGGAGUACGGCCGCAAGGUUAAAACUCAAAUGAAUUGACGGGGGCCCGCACAAGCGGUGGAGCAUGUGGUUUAAUUCGAUGCAACGCGAAGAACCUUACCUGGUCUUGACAUCCACAGAACUUAGCAGAGAUGCUUUGGUGCCUUCGGGAACUGUGAGACAGGUGCUGCAUGGCUGUCGUCAGCUCGUGUUGUGAAAUGUUGGGUUAAGUCCCGCAACGAGCGCAACCCUUAUCCUUUGUUGCCAGCGGUUCGGCCGGGAACUCAAAGGAGACUGCCAGUGAUAAACUGGAGGAAGGUGGGGAUGACGUCAAGUCAUCAUGGCCCUUACGACCAGGGCUACACACGUGCUACAAUGGCAUAUACAAAGAGAAGCGACCUCGCGAGAGCAAGCGGACCUCAUAAAGUAUGUCGUAGUCCGAAUUGGAGUCUGCAACUCGACUCCAUGAAGUCGGAAUCGCUAGUAAUCGUAGAUCAGAAUGCUACGGUGAAUACGUUCCCGGGCCUUGUACACACCGCCCGUCACACCAUGGGAGUGGGUUGCAAAAGAAGUAGGUAGCUUAACCUUCGGGAGGGCGCUUACCACUUUGUGAUUCAUGACUGGGGUGAAGUCGUAACAAGGUAACCGUAGGGGAACCUGCGGUUGGAUCACCUCCUUA
This 680-nucleotide ribosomal RNA is filed under the name Klebsiella pneumoniae. Its description in RNAcentral is "bacterial SSU rRNA". It matches the Rfam family "Bacterial small subunit ribosomal RNA", at positions 853 to 1533 of the family's 1533-position model. Lineage: Bacteria; Pseudomonadati; Pseudomonadota; Gammaproteobacteria; Enterobacterales; Enterobacteriaceae. The record is from RNAcentral.